This 263-nucleotide unclassified non-coding RNA is filed under the name plant metagenome. RNAcentral describes it as "partial contains small subunit ribosomal RNA, internal transcribed spacer 1, and 5.8S ribosomal RNA". The record is from RNAcentral.
UUUCCGUAGGUGAACCUGCGGAAGGAUCAUUAUUGUAUAACCGAGGUGCGUGGGCUGUCGCUGACCCGAAAGGUCGUGCACGCCCGAGUGCCCUCACACGCAUCCAUCUCACCCCUAUGUGCACCACCGCGUGGGUCCCCCUUUGGCUUGUUCGGAGGGGGGCUUACGUUUUCACACAAACUUUGUAUGCAGUGUAGAAUGUAUUUUUUGUUUUUGCGAUCACGCAAUCAAUACAACUUUCAACAACGGAUCUCUUGGCUCUC